Molecule: unclassified non-coding RNA, 218 nt
Filed under: Hevea brasiliensis (rubber tree)
Lineage: Eukaryota; Viridiplantae; Streptophyta; Magnoliopsida; Malpighiales; Euphorbiaceae
Source: RNAcentral
AAAUUAAAUAAAUCCUAGAUGAAAAACGAAAAUUGAAAGCUAAUCCUAAUAAAAUAGGAAACACAAAAAACUAAAUCUUCACCAUGAUAUUCUCAAACAGGAAGUAAAAAAAUGUGUUGGACUCAAAGGGCACUUUUGGAGACAUGUUUGAAUCAGCUUGGACCAUCCAAUUUUUGGUCCCAUCGUAAAGAGCACCACAUCAUGCUGCCCCACUUUUA